Molecule: ribosomal RNA, 459 nt
Filed under: uncultured bacterium
Lineage: Bacteria
Description: partial 16S ribosomal RNA
Rfam family: Bacterial small subunit ribosomal RNA
Source: RNAcentral
CCUACGGGAGGCAGCAGUGAGGAAUAUUGGUCAAUGGCCGAGAGGCUGAACCAGCCAAGUCGCGUGAGGGAAGACGGCCCUACGGGUUGUAAACCUCUUUUGUCGGGGAGCAAAGCGAGUCACGUGUGACUCAUUGAGAGUACCCGAAGAAAAAGCAUCGGCUAACUCCGUGCCAGCAGCCGCGGUAAUACGGAGGAUGCGAGCGUUAUCCGGAUUUAUUGGGUUUAAAGGGUGCGCAGGCGGAGGUGCAAGUCCGCGGUCAAAUUGCGGGGCUCAACCCCGUACUGCCGUUGAAACUGCAGCCCUUGAGUGCGCGAGAAGUAGGCGGAAUGCGUGGUGUAGCGGUGAAAUGCAUAGAUAUCACGCAGAACUCCGAUUGCGAAGGCAGCAUACCGGCGCGCAACUGACGCUCAUGCACGAAAGCGUGGGUAUCGAACAGGAUUAGAUACCCGGGUAGUC